CCUACGGGAGGCAGCAGUGGGGAAUAUUGCGCAAUGGGGGAAACCCUGACGCAGCAACGCCGCGUGAGUGAGGAAGUAUCUCGGUAUGUAAAGCUCUAUCAGCGGGGACGAAGGAUGACGGUACCCGAAUAAUAAGCCCCGGCUAACUACGUGCCAGCAGCCGCGGUAAUACGUAGGGGGCGAGCGUUAUCCGGAUUUACUGGGUGUAAAGGGCGUGUAGACGGCGAUGCAAGCCAGAAGUGAAAGCCCGUGGCUUAACCGCGGAACUGCUUUGGGAACUGUGUGGCUGGAGUGAUGGAGAGGUAGGCGGAAUUCCUGGUGUAGCGGUGAAAUGCGUAGAUAUCAGGAGGAACACCAGUGGCGAAGGCGGCUUGCUGGACAGUGACUGACGUUGAGGCUCGAAAGCGUGGGGAGCGAACAGGAUUAGAUACCCUUGUAGUC
This 441-nucleotide ribosomal RNA is filed under the name uncultured bacterium. Its description in RNAcentral is "partial 16S ribosomal RNA". It matches the Rfam family "Bacterial small subunit ribosomal RNA", at positions 338 to 795 of the family's 1533-position model. The record is from RNAcentral.